Molecule: unclassified non-coding RNA, 1363 nt
Filed under: Hevea brasiliensis (rubber tree)
Lineage: Eukaryota; Viridiplantae; Streptophyta; Magnoliopsida; Malpighiales; Euphorbiaceae
Source: RNAcentral
UCUGCCAAUGGACUUCAAGUCUGUAUGGGCAGCAAUGGAAGAGUGCCAACGGCUUGGCCUUACAAAGACCAUUGGAGUCUGCAACUUCUCUUGCAAGAAGCUCAAUGACUUACUUGCCUUGGCUAAAAUCCCUCCUUCAGUAAAUCAAGUGGAGAUGAGUCCUGUCUGGCAACAAAAGAAGCUCAGAGAGCUCUGCAAGGCCAAAGGUAUAGUUUUGACAGCUUAUUCUCCCCUGGGAGCAAAAGGGACACGCUGGGGCACUAAUGCUGUAAUGGACAAUGAAGUGCUAAAUGAGAUUGCAAAGGCUCAUGGAAAGACUGUUGCUCAGGUUUCUGUUACAUUAAGCUUCAGUAGUUCCUUCCUUGUAUGUUAUUCAUCGAAGAGAUAUUAUAACAUAUUGAUUGUGUUAUCAAUGAGAAUACCUCUAUGAAUGUUAAAAAUGUGAGAAAAUCUACAAUACUCAUUUGAAUUAACGAUAUAAAAUGUAUAGGAAAUGAACAUUAGAUAUGCAGGCUGCAAUGCGAUGAAUGUAAAAAUAGUGGCUGUGAUUUAGUUGUAGUCAUACUUUAGAGGUUGAUAGAGAAUGAGCACAUAAUUUAGUAAGUAGGGGUUAAUUAUCCAAAAGCUAGCUCAAGUCGAGGAGAUUUAUUCAAGUCUUGUAUUUAGGUCAAAUAUCUUAUUCCAAACCAAGGCAUGAACAUAUGGAAUGAGAAGUUUACGGGCAACAUUGAUGUAGGGUAGGCGCUGAUAUCAAUCUUAAGAAAACUCAUACCCGCGAGCUAGUACAAGGGAGAAGAAGUGUCCAAGACUUUAUAAGGGCAUAUUACUUUAUCCGAAACCAAUGUGCGAUAUUAAUGGUAUGUGCAUGAUUUAUUGUCCUCUAUUAUAUGGUCUUGUUGAUGGAGGGAGCCGCUUAGCAGGUUUGUCUUGAAUGAAUCAAGCUUGAUGCAUGAUUUUUGGUGUGUCAAUUACAUUAUUGAUAUGUUGAUGGAUGAAUCACCUUGGCAGGUUUGUCUGAGAUGGGUGUAUGAACAGGGAGUUACUCUUGUAGUUAAGAGCCAUAAAAAGGAGAGACUGAAGGAAAAUUUGGAGAUAUUUGACUGGGCACUGUCAAAGGAUGAUUAUAACAAGAUCAAUCAGAUCCCUCAACGAAGAUUACAGCCUAAAGAACUGUUGGUUUCAGCAGAUGGACCAUACAAGUCCCUUGAAGAGCUAUGGGAUGGGGAGUUUUAACUCGUGUGUUUGUGUGUGUAUUAAAAACUCCUACAAUGUGGGACUAAUUUAUGUACGGACAAUUUCCUAAUGUCCUGUUCAUUAAUAACAAAAUAUUUUCUUUUGUAAUGAUAAAAAAAAUGCCUUUUUU